AGGCAUCUUUUAACAAUCAAAGGAGCAAUCCGCUAUGAGAUGGGCCCGCGGCGCAUUAGCUAGUUGGUGAGGUAACGGCUCACCAAGGCGACGAUGCGUAGCCGACCUGAGAGGGUGAUCGGCCACAUUGGAACUGAGACACGGUCCAGACUCCUACGGGAGGCAGCAGUGGGGAAUAUUGCACAAUGGGGGAAACCCUGAUGCAGCAACGCCGCGUGAGUGAUGAAGGUCUUCGGAUUGUAAAGCUCUGUCUUUAGGGACGAUAAUGACGGUACCUAAGGAGGAAGCCACGGCUAA
This 297-nucleotide ribosomal RNA is filed under the name uncultured bacterium. RNAcentral's name for it is "partial small subunit ribosomal RNA". It matches the Rfam family "Bacterial small subunit ribosomal RNA", at positions 186 to 500 of the family's 1533-position model. The record is from RNAcentral.